CGGGGCGUAGCUCAGUUUGGCUAGAGUGCUGGCUUCGGGAGUCAGAGGUCGCUGGUUCGAAUCCAGUCGCCCCGACCA
This 78-nucleotide transfer RNA is filed under the name Candidatus Omnitrophota bacterium. Its description in RNAcentral is "tRNA-Pro". It matches the Rfam family "tRNA". From Rfam's summary of the family: Transfer RNA (tRNA) molecules are approximately 80 nucleotides in length. Their secondary structure includes four short double-helical elements and three loops (D, anti-codon, and T loops). The record is from RNAcentral. Lineage: Bacteria; Pseudomonadati; Candidatus Omnitrophota.